GGUGCAUGGUUGUCGUCAGCUCGUGUCGUGAGAUGUUGGGUUAAGUCCCGCAACGAGCGCAACCCUUGAUCUUAGUUGCCAGCAUUCAGUUGGGCACUCUAAGGUGACUGCCGGUGACAAACCGGAGGAAGGUGGGGAUGACGUCAAAUCAUCAUGCCCCUUAUGGGCAGGGCUACACACGUGCUACAAUGGCCAGUACAGAGGGUUGCCAACCCGCGAGGGGGAGCUAAUCUCACAAAGCUGGUCGUAGUCCGGAUUGGAGUCUGCAACUCGACUCCAUGAAGUCGGAAUCGCUAGUAAUCGCGGAUCAGAAUGCCGCGGUGAAUACGUUCCCGGGCCUUGUACACACCGCCCGUCACACCAUGGGAGUGGGUUGCAAAAGAAGUAGGUAGCUUAACCUUCGGGAGGGCGCUUACCACUUUGUGAUUCAUGACUGGGGUG
This 441-nucleotide ribosomal RNA is filed under the name uncultured soil bacterium. RNAcentral describes it as "bacterial SSU rRNA". It matches the Rfam family "Bacterial small subunit ribosomal RNA", at positions 1040 to 1482 of the family's 1533-position model. The record is from RNAcentral.